CCUACGGGAGACAGCAGUGGGGAAUAUUGGACAAUGGGGGAAACCCUGAUCCAGCGACGCCGCGUGAGUGAAGAAGGAUUUCGGUAUGUAAAGCUCUAUUAGCAGGAAAGAAAAUGACGGUACUUGACUAAGAAGCCCCGGCUAACUACGUGCCAGCAGCCGCGGGAAUACGUAGGGGGCAAGCGUUAUCCGGAUUUACUGGGUGUAAAGGGAGCGUAGACGGCAGCGCAAGUCAGGAGUGAAAUGCCGGGGCCCAACCCCGGAACUGCACUGGAAACUGUGAAGCUGGAGUGCAGGAGAGGUAAGCGGAAUUCCUGGUGUAGCGGUGAAAUGCGUAGAUAUCAGGAGGAACACCGGCGGCGAAGGCGGCUUGCUGGACUGUAACUGACGUUGAGGCUCGAAGGCGUGGGGAGCAAACAGGAUUAGAUACCCGAGUAGUC
Molecule: ribosomal RNA, 440 nt
Filed under: uncultured bacterium
Lineage: Bacteria
Description: partial 16S ribosomal RNA
Rfam family: Bacterial small subunit ribosomal RNA
Source: RNAcentral